RNAcentral lists this long non-coding RNA (989 nucleotides) under Mytilus galloprovincialis (Mediterranean mussel). Lineage: Eukaryota; Metazoa; Mollusca; Bivalvia; Mytilida; Mytilidae. The record is from RNAcentral.
UCAGUGAUCUCAAAUCAAAAGACCCCAGGUCAAUCAUUUGUAUGGUUGUGGAGAAAUACUGAUUUCAAAUACAUAAGGGGAGAAAACUCCUAUAAGGGUUAACCAAAACACUUCGACUGAAAUAGACUGAAGUUGCGCCUUUUUGUAAACAGCAAUUUGGCAAACAAAUCAUAUCAUUUACUGUAACAGUUUCUUUUGAAUAACGAUAACAAGCAAAAUUCAAAAAUUUAUAACAUGACCUUGACCUUCGACCUUGAACUCAAUUUCAAGGUCAUAGGUCAGUGAACACAAAACGGAAGACCGGAGGUCAAUCACUUGUAUGGUUGUGGAGAAAUACUGAUUUGAAAUACAUAAGGGGAGAAAACUCCUAUAAGGGUUAACCAAAACACUUUGACUGAAAUAGGUUGAAGUUGCGCCUUAUUGUAAACAGUUAUUUGGCAAACACAUCAUAUCAUUUACUGUCACAGUUUCUGUGGUAUAACGAUAACAAGCAAAAUUCAAAAUUUAGAACAUGACCUUGACCUUUGACCUUGACCUCAAUUUCCUUCAAAUGGACCAAGGACUUCAUAUCAAAAGACUUUAGGCCUCUACGACUUAUAACGUAUGAAUUGAUCCAACAAAUCGCUUAUCUUAAAUUUUCAAAGGGAAAUAACUCCCAUAAGAUGUCUUCCGAUCACUAAAGUCAAAAUAAACCAAAUCAUUCUCAAGAGUAGACGAACAAUUUGGUGAAAACAGUUUGCUAAAAUCUUUUACGGUUUUAGAGAUAUAGCGAUAACAAGAAAAGGGGACGCGGGGAGAUAACUCCUAUAAGAAUAAGCGUUCGGUCACACAGGAUGAGUUUUGAAACCUCCAUUACUGUACAACAUCAUUGGCCAAAAAUCCAUUCGAUAUGUUGUAAGACAAAAAAGCAUGUCAGACGGCAGAAAAAAAAAAAUAAUCAGAAGAAAAACAAAAGGUCUUUCCACGAAAAGUGGAAAGACCUAAUAAUA